Molecule: long non-coding RNA, 844 nt
Organism: Chiroxiphia lanceolata (lance-tailed manakin)
Lineage: Eukaryota; Metazoa; Chordata; Aves; Passeriformes; Pipridae
Exons: 3
Source: RefSeq, a predicted model, not a curated record
UGCUGAUUUUCUAGGCAGAUGCUGGAGCAGCAAUUGGUGUUUAGAGGGUCGUAAGUCAUAAACAUUCCAUGAACUGGAAUACUGGCUGCUCUUCCCUUCCAUCCCAGUGCCUUAUCCAAGGUUUCCAGAAGGGGGAGCUUUUUUAGGAAUAUCCAAGGGAAUUGCUGUAGUUUGUACCUUUCUGGCUAAGUUGAACUAUUAUUCUGCUUAAUGCUUUUAUCACCUCUGUGUGUCCAUGGCCCCUGUCACAGGAAAGAUGUUUGGGAUGUGACUUCCCAGUUAUAGGAUCAUCUCUAUUCCUUACAGGAACAGAUGCAGCUCCUUUUAGGGUCAGGUAAUUUGAGAUGGGAAUAUCUGGUGGAAGUCUGGGGCAGGAAUGGGAAGGGACCCAUCACAAGAGGUGAUGUACGUGCAGGAUCAAGGUGCUGUUUAGAUUUUGAGGAAUUCAGAGCCUGGUUGUUGCAUUAACAAAACUUGUACCACAAACUUUGUUGCUUUCACAGCCAGAUUUCCAUUUUCAGGAGGUUUCUCUACAGGAACUUAGGAACUGGAAUUCUGCUGGUGUCAGGAACUGGGCUGUGUGGCAGAAACAAGAUGUGCCUUCUCAGGGUGUGAGUGAGUCUCAUCUCAGGUUUUUUUUUGCACACCUCUCAGUAGAAAGCUUGAAAUAUUUAGUAGUAAAUAAUACCAACAUUAAUUAUUGAUUAUUUUUUUUUAAAACUUGAAUUUGGAAAAAAAUCUGGAAAUAUUAAAGGUGACAGAUGAGCUUUGUCACUUUGGAGGAGCAGGAAAUGUGUGAAAGCUGGAAGAGCGCUGAAGCAAUAAAGAGUGACACAGCUUUGCA